UUUAAAUUUUUAGAAUAGGUUGCAUUUUAUUUUCAGUGUGUAUGCUUGGCUUGAAUACUUUUUCUGAAGAUGUUUGACUGAAUAAUUUGCAUGAUGAGCCUAUUUGAUGAUGAUUUGAUGUGGAUGAUAAUUGAGCUGCGUUGCAUGUUGAUAUUCUGUGAAAUAGAUGGGUGAUGAAUUAUGAUUGUGGUUAUGAUGCUAAGCAGGGUGUAUGAAUGAAUAUUGUGCGAGAAAGCAUGGUUUGUGAGGUAUUGAGCUCCAGAGUUUUCAUUGUUGUAUGUGUUUUUCACAAGAAAGCAUAAAUGAUAUUACCUUAAUCUUGAUGAUUGAUUGAAUUACAUGUGAUUGCCAUAUGAUCAAGGCCAUUUUUGAAAACCCUUCUCUAGCCAAAAUUUCACCCAAAGUGCUUGAAAAUAUUAUACCCGUUUUGAACCUUAGCCUUAAACAGGAUGUGAACCCUUGUCUUGAAAUUCUUUACCUUGAGUUGGGAUGAACUUAAUUGUAUGUGAUGAAAAGGUUCAAGUUUGGGGUUGCAUGGGGAAAAUUGAAAGGCAAUUGAAAAGCAUUGAGCUCAAAUGUUGUGAAAGAAAAAUACAUGAGAAAAAGAAAAGAAAAGAAGAAAAGCAUGAAGAUGGGCUCAAUGCAAAAGAAAAGGGAAAAAGUUGGGGAUUAGUGAGAUUGGUGAGGAAAAGAGUUGUGCUUCAAUGUUGAAUACUAUGGUAGCUCUCUUAACUUAAGGAUUUUGCAUUCCAGAAAAACCAAUUCUUCUUGUUAGCCCAACCUCAUUACAAGCCUUGGAAAAGUCCUUUUGAUGGCAUUUGCAUGUGAAGAUUUUGAUUGUUUGAGAUGAAGGGAAAUUUUGUUUCAUGUGACUUGUGAAU
This 881-nucleotide long non-coding RNA is filed under the name Vigna radiata. RNAcentral describes it as "long non-coding RNA (VRAD_LNC013176)". Lineage: Eukaryota; Viridiplantae; Streptophyta; Magnoliopsida; Fabales; Fabaceae. The record is from RNAcentral.